RNAcentral lists this ribosomal RNA (549 nucleotides) under Triticum aestivum (bread wheat). Its description in RNAcentral is "partial small subunit ribosomal RNA". The record is from RNAcentral. Lineage: Eukaryota; Viridiplantae; Streptophyta; Magnoliopsida; Poales; Poaceae.
AUGGAUGAGAAUAUUCUAGCAAUGGGUUACCCAAGGAGUUCCCGCAAAAUUGUUCAUUGCUUCCAUCACUACAAGAUUGAAAUAUUCAAUGAGGUGCUUGAUAGAAACAUAGCUAAGAUGAAUAACCGGUUCAGUGAAACUUCAACAAGGUUAUUGAUAUGCAUUGCUAGUCUAGAUCCUAGAGACUCAUUUAGUAGAUUUAAUCAUGAGAACCUGCUUGAGCUUGCAUCUAUGUACUUAGUCGACUUCGACCCAGAAGAAUUAUAUCAUUUGGAUGGUCAGCUCAAGAUAUACAUUGAUAUGAUGAAAAGGUAUCAUGUUUUUUGUGAUUGUGACAAUAUUGCUAAACUUGCCCUCAAGUUGGUUGAAACUAAGGAACAUUUACAAUUUCAUUUGGUUUACCGGCUCAUCAAACUUAAUUUGACUUUGCCAGUAGUGACGACAUCUGUUGAAAGAGUUUUCUCAACCAUGAAUAUCAUAAAGAUAAAUUUGAGAAAUAAGACAUCUGAUGAUUGGUUGAAUGAUAUGAAGGUAUGCUAUGUUGAGUGA